Molecule: ribosomal RNA, 494 nt
Filed under: uncultured bacterium
Lineage: Bacteria
Description: bacterial SSU rRNA
Rfam family: Bacterial small subunit ribosomal RNA
Source: RNAcentral
GACGAACGCUGGCGGCGUGCCUAACACAUGCAAGUCAAGGGGAAAGGUUUCUUCGGAGACCGAUUACACUGGCGGACGGGUGAGUAACGCGUAGGUAACCUGCCCUCAAGCUUGGGAUAACCUCUGGAAACGGGGGCUAAUACCGGAUGUGGUCUUGAUGUUGCAUAGCAUUAAGAUUAAAGCUGGGUUUCUAGCACUUGAGGAUGGGCCUGCGUUCCAUUAGCUAGUUGGUGAGGUAACGGCCCACCAAGGCGACGAUGGAUAGCUGGUCUGAGAGGAUGAUCAGCCACACUGGAACUGAGACACGGUCCAGACUCCUACGGGAGGCAGCAGUGGGGAAUAUUGGACAAUGGGCCACGAGCCUGAUCCAGCAAUUCUGUGUGGGUGAUGACGGUCUUAGGAUUGUAAAACCCUUUCAGUGGGGAAGAAGAAAGUGACAGUACCCACAGAAGAAGCACGGCUAACUACGUGCCAGCAGCCGCGGUAAAGUCGAU